RNAcentral lists this long non-coding RNA (714 nucleotides) under Musa acuminata (dwarf banana). RNAcentral's name for it is "long non-coding RNA (MACU_LNC006842)". Lineage: Eukaryota; Viridiplantae; Streptophyta; Magnoliopsida; Zingiberales; Musaceae. The record is from RNAcentral.
AUAGAUGGGCAUUUUUCCAAUUAAGGGGAAACAGAGAAUAAAACAACAAAUAUGUUAACAGGUCUUCUUCUUCUCAUCCACUGUUUGGGGAAAAUGAAGAACCGGUGAGGAAUCGAUAACCAAAUCUCAAGACAAAGACACAAAUUGAGGUGCACCUGCAUGACAGCCUCCAAUUUUUUUCCCUGCCCACCAACUUGAUGAAGAGAUAUUAUCACCCAAAUACGGCCUCCUAUCUUAUGACUCUCACAUCAUAUAUGAUUUGAGACAGACCACGAAUGAUUUUUAUGACUGCCUUAAACCAUAAAAUUUUUCUACUGUCAGAAAAUUAAUUAAUUUCACAUUUGUUCUGCCAAUGGAGAUCAGCAAAAAUUUGCUUUCGAAUAUCGUUAAUCGGAUUUUCCAAAGGUGGCCAAAUGCCAAACAAAAAAAUCUUUGAUCACACUUCCUGACCCCUCUUAAGGUUCCAAGUGUCUGAUAACAAUGGACCUGUGCUUGGAACAAAGAAAUUCACUUUUUCUAGGAUUUGGUGGAAAAGAAGAAACCAAUUAUAAUACCUGGACUCUCUCUGGUUCCUAUGCAACACACCCAGAGACACCUGAUCUCACACUAGACUAGACAUCACUAACCUAAUCUAAUAACAUAUAGGAUUGUUCAUACAUUAAAGGAAAUAUAAAAAGUGGUUAUGAUAAUCAAUUUUUCAAAUUCAUCAUGGUU